RNAcentral lists this ribosomal RNA (119 nucleotides) under Helianthus annuus (common sunflower). The record is from RNAcentral. Lineage: Eukaryota; Viridiplantae; Streptophyta; Magnoliopsida; Asterales; Asteraceae.
GGUUGCGAUCAUACCAGCACUAAUGCACCGGAUUCCAUCAGAACUCCGCAGUUAAGCGUGCUUGGGCGAGAGUAGUACUAGGAUGGGUGACCCCCUGGGAAGUCCUCGUGUUGCAACCC